AUCUCCAUUUGUUGCGCAUAGGAACAAAGUUUGACAAAACUUCUUAGAGACGAAAGAAUGAACACUCUUUUGUAACCUUCAGCAUAUAUGGACAAAUCUUUCCAUCUUAAAAGCAUGGCUAAAGAAUUGGAAAGAGAAACCCAACAUAAAAAACGUUCCCGAGAACACAAGUGACAUCUUGGGUGCCAACGGAGAGAUGGAAUGCAUGAACAAUUGCUCAAAUAAGUUAAGAAAUUGAUAACAGAGAAUGCCUCCAAGGAGCACAGUGCUCCCAC
This 275-nucleotide long non-coding RNA is filed under the name Elaeis guineensis (African oil palm). RNAcentral describes it as "long non-coding RNA (EGUI_LNC001925)". Lineage: Eukaryota; Viridiplantae; Streptophyta; Magnoliopsida; Arecales; Arecaceae. The record is from RNAcentral.